Molecule: ribosomal RNA, 468 nt
Filed under: uncultured bacterium
Lineage: Bacteria
Description: partial 16S ribosomal RNA
Rfam family: Bacterial small subunit ribosomal RNA
Source: RNAcentral
GACGAACGCUGGCGGCGUGCUUAACACAUGCAGGUCGAACGGAAAGGCCCUGCUUUUGUGGGGUGCUCGAGUGGCGAGCGGGUGAGUAACACGUGAGUAACCUGCCCUUGACUUUGGGAUAACUUCAGGAAACUGGGGCUAAUACCGGAUAGGAGCUCCUGCUGCAUGGUGGGGGUUGGAAAGUUUCGGCGGUUGGGGAUGGACUCGCGGCUUAUCAGCUUGUUGGUGGGGUAGUGGCUUACCAAGGCUUUGACGGGUAGCCGGCCUGAGAGGGUGACCGGCCACAUUGGGACUGAGAUACGGCCCAGACUCCUACGGGAGGCAGCAGUGGGGAAUAUUGCACAAUGGGCGGAAGCCUGAUGCAGCAACGCCGCGUGCGGGAUGACGGCCUUCGGGUUGUAAACCGCUUUCGCCUGUGACGAAGCGUGAGUGACGGUAAUGGGUAAAGAAGCACCGGCUAACUACGUG